This 487-nucleotide ribosomal RNA is filed under the name uncultured Turicibacter sp. Its description in RNAcentral is "partial 16S ribosomal RNA". The record is from RNAcentral. Lineage: Bacteria; Bacillati; Bacillota; Erysipelotrichia; Erysipelotrichales; Turicibacteraceae.
CACGUAGUUAGCCGUGGCUUUCUCAUAAGGUACCGUCAAUUGAUAGUCAUUUCCUCCUAUCACCUUUCUUCCCUUAUAACAGAAUUUUACAACCCGAAGGCCUUCUUCAUUCACGCGGCGUUGCUCGGUCAGGCUUUCGCCCAUUGCCGAAGAUUCCCUACUGCUGCCUCCCGUAGGAGUCUGGGCCGUGUCUCAGUCCCAGUGUGGCCGUUCACCCUCUCAGGUCGGCUACGCAUCGUCGCCUUGGUAGGCCUUUACCCCACCAACUAGCUAAUGCGCCGCAGGCUCAUCCAUCAGUGAUGCCAGGAGCAUCUUUAAACUUUCGUCCUAUCCGGUAUUAGCGAUCGUUUCCAAUCGUUGUCCCCGUCUGAUGGGCAGAUCACCUACGUGUUACUCACCCGUUCGCCGCUUCCCACCGAAGUGGUUCGCUCGACUUGCAUGUAUUAGGCACGCCGCCAGCGUUCAUCCUGAGCCAGGAUCAAACUCU